AUAUAUUCUGUGUCUAGACAAUCCGUUCCUGAACAAAGGAUCCGUAAGGGUGAUGGCUACUCGAUAGCACAUACGGCUGAAAUCAACCAUGAUAAAAGGCCGUGUGCUUCUCUAAACCUCUCUGUGAAAGCUGCUACCCCUAAAAACGUUCACCAUCGUAAGCCUAAGAAGCAAUUUAUUGAGCCUGAGCCAUACCAGAAAGGCAUCCCGCCCAAAAGACGC
Long non-coding RNA from Perca fluviatilis (European perch), 222 nucleotides. RefSeq lists it as uncharacterized. The transcript has 2 exons. The record is from RefSeq and is a predicted model, not a curated record. NCBI's taxonomy places the organism in Eukaryota, Metazoa, Chordata, Actinopteri, Perciformes, Percidae.